Non-coding RNA from Podarcis lilfordi (Lilford's wall lizard), 128 nucleotides. Lineage: Eukaryota; Metazoa; Chordata; Lepidosauria; Squamata; Lacertidae. The record is from the annotation of a GenBank genome assembly.
CCUCCAGUAGCACCUUAGAGACCAACUAAGUUUGUUACUGGUAUGAGCUUUCGUGUGUAUGCACACUUCUUCACACGGAAGCUCAUAUGAAUAACAAACUUAGUUGGUCUCUAAGGUGCUACUGGAAG